This is a non-coding RNA of Podarcis lilfordi (Lilford's wall lizard), 3179 nucleotides long. Lineage: Eukaryota; Metazoa; Chordata; Lepidosauria; Squamata; Lacertidae. The record is from the annotation of a GenBank genome assembly.
CAGAAAAGCAUUAUGCAGCCAAUAAUAGCCUUUUAAUUGUCAACAGGUGCAAAGUAACUACUUAUUAUACCUAUUAUUUCCCUUUGUCUGAGGUUGCUCUGAAAAAGCACUAAGAAGAAAAAUGGAUGUGCACGUAACACAGAUAAGAGAAUUCUGUAGAUUCCGAGGCUGAUCAAAGUUUUCAGUAAAAGACCAGAGUUUUACAGGUAUCAAUUCUCAUCCCUAUGUGGUCACCUUGAGGAAGUUCUUACUCUCCCAGGAAAGUGUCUGUUUACAGUGGUACCUCAGGUUAAAUACUUAAUUCGUUCCGGAGGUCCGUACUUAACCUGAAACUGUCCUUAACCUGAAGCACCACUUUAGCUAAUGGGGCCUCCUGCUGCCGCACGAUUUCUGUUCUCAUCCUGAAGCAAAGUUCUUAACCCGAGGUACUAUUUCUGGGUUAGCGGAGUGUGUAACCUGAAGCGUAUGUAACCUGAAACGUAUGUAACCUGAGGUACCACUGUACAAGCCUGUAAUAACUUUUGAAUCUUCACUGCGUAAAGCUUUCUGUCAAUUAGAAUCUUCAGAAAUAUGCUUCUGGAGGUUUAUAGCAGGAGUAGUCAACGUGGUGCCCUCCAGCCAGCAUGGCUAAUGGUCAGGGGUGCUGGGAUUUGCAAAACAUCUGGAUGACACUGAGUUAGCUAACCCUGAUUUAGAGGGUGGUGUAUGUUUCUUCGUUUGUUUGUUUAAUUUGCUUUGCCCAGCACCCUUCAAGACUGAUUUCUCAGCUAGGCAAAAUAAAUGUGGGGAAGAGAACGCUCCAAUUAUUAAAUCACUGAGGGUAAUGAAUGCUCACAUAAUUUAAUUGGUGUUUCAAUGCAAGGGCCCAAUUUCGCUGCAGUGGUCUAAAUGUUUAAUAUCUGUGUCUUCAUGCCUGACAUUAACAGAUUAGCAACACCACAUCCAUUCACUACACAACACUUCUCCCAGUUUGUCUCAAGAAUAACUAUUGAGAAUAAAAGCAUUCAAAAAUGUUCAAGUGAAAACGAAAAGAAGCAUCUCGUAGCAACUGAGACCAGACUUCCAAAUCAGUUUCCAAUAUGGUUUCAGAUCCUGCAGAUUCCUCAUUUCCUUUUCAACGGUGUGUUCAACUUCUCUCUCUUUCUCUCCCCCCCCCCGCUUUCUUUGUUUUGUAAACCAUGAUUUGGUGUCACUACUGCUGCAAAUCACUAUCUACACCAGCACUGACAUGAAAUCCAGACUCUAAUAGCUUCUAAAUAAUUUAUAGGCUUCCAGAAUAUGUUCCUGCUGUGAAGCAAGGCAAGAGGCACUGUGAGGACUGAGACAACAUGGCGCUCUGCUUCUGAUUGCUGUACAAAACAAGGCACAUUCAUCUGAAAACAUAGAUGCAGAGAAGUCAAAGCAUGCAUCUGCAAGGGUGUGUCUGCUUGUCUUCUGCCAUGCUCGAAAUUAAGAAACAGCGCUUCCCUCCCACACAGAAACCUGUAUUUUUUAUUUAAGUCUCAGACAGUUUCACUGUUGCCCUAUCAGACAUGCAAAUGGCUAAGGAACCAGCAUGGCUCCAGGGCCAGACUGGACGUGACUAGAGACACAGAGCAGGAGCAACUAUAUCUUUCUAGGAACAUCUAGUUCUGCCUGAAAUUGGUGCAUCUAAGCUCAGCUGAAACAAGGAAGAGGUAAUGAAGAAUCAGUACAGAUACACAGUACACCCUCGUCUCCCCAUUAGGGUGAGCUCAUCCUUCUUUCUUUCAUUCACUGAAGUUGCUCAUAUUAGCCUUUAAACCUCUAAACCAUUUGGGACCAGAUUAUCUGCCUCCAUCCAUACAAGCCUGCUCAAGCUUAAAGUUCAGCAUCUGUGAUCCUGCUCUUGGUCCAUCAUUGAGAGCCGCCAGAUGAGAGAGAACAAGGCACAGGGCCUUUACUGUGGUGGCUCCACAUCUCUGGAAUAACCUCCCCAGACAAGUACAUAUGGCUUCAUGGCUUCCUCUUUGCAGGCUUUUAGGAAGACUUUAAAUACUUCUUUAUUUCAACCUGUAUUUGGUUAAUUUUAGUGAACUGUGCUUUUUAUUGAGUUUUUAUCUGCUGUUUGUCAUUUGUCAUUUAAUUAUGCCUGUAUUUUUUAAUAUAGUUUGGGGGGUAGUGGCUUGAUUAUUUGCGGAAGGAAGGAUGAACAAGGAUAGGCUUAUAAAUUAGUACAGAGAUGAAAAAGAAAUAAAUAAAACCACAUGCAAUGAGAACAUUGAUCUGGACGCAGCCUUGGGAAAACCUCCUCUUCCAAAGGCCUCUCUCCAUUAAUCACUGGAUAACAAACCAAGCGGACUUAGCAGGUAAUAGAAAUUCUGCAGGCGCUCUGCCAAACCAAAAAUCCUUUAAAACGUGCCUGGAUGAAGAAAGGUGGUACAUCCAAAACCAUCCUCAGAGGUUUGACAAGGUCUCAACUAGUUUCGUUCCCCAUUAAUGAUGAGCGCAGGGGAGGGGUUUAAUCAAAAACGGCUGGCUGGCUGGCUGUGAGGGACUUUCGUUCAUUUAUCUCGAAACGAUCUCUAUGCCUAGCAGGGUACUGUUGACAGAGCUGUGGCAAUGACUUGAGCACACAACUGCAGCCUGGUUCGUCCCCCUGCCUAGCCACGGCUGGUGAUGCAAAACAGCGUUGUCUCAACAAAAAGUAUUUUCUCAUCUGACUUUCCAGACAGACUAUCAACAACCGCAUAGACUGAAAAGCAGGCAGAAAGCCGGCCUUUAACUAAACACAAGAGAAAGUAUUGUGUUUAGAAGCACGUUUGCUUAUUCCUAAAGGAAGACAUGUCAGCUUUGAUUUACAUGAAUCAUGUCCUGCAGUCGGAAUAUUCUGACUAGUAAAAACUGAUCCAAGAAAGGGGGGGCAACACCCCACCUCACCCCACUAAGGAUGAUGGGACCUAGGUAUGCAUGUGUGAUGAUGGUUAAAAAUGACAAAGGAGACACAGACUGCCGUUUUUUAGUUUUCCUUACUGGCUGGGACUGAUGGAAAUUAUAGUUCGGAACAUCACCAGGUAUGCAAUGGCUGGACAAGACACUAUGGCCGCAUUUGCACCUCAUAUUGAAAGCACUAUUAUACCACUAACAGUCAGAAUAGUUUAACAGUCAAUCCCUCUUCCCAGCGAAUUCUGGGAACUAUAGCUCAGUGAGCAGAAUAGGGG